Molecule: long non-coding RNA, 401 nt
Organism: Xiphophorus couchianus (Monterrey platyfish)
Lineage: Eukaryota; Metazoa; Chordata; Actinopteri; Cyprinodontiformes; Poeciliidae
Exons: 3
Source: RefSeq, a predicted model, not a curated record
UCAGGUCGCUGCCGGCGUAGAUCGGAUCAGCAAAUAACAGGUCGUAGUUUCCCUCCUUCAGCUUCUUCAUGAUGGGUUCUGAUUUCAGAACGCCAUCCAAAAACUUAAAAGAAUUCCUUCGUUCGCUCUCGGCGUUUAUGACAUCAUCCCUCCAGCAACGCCGUCCGCACAACGACCAACUGGACAGCGUUUGACUUCGGAGCGACCUCUGACCUCAGGGGUUACAAGUUAAGCGGGCACAUCGAGCCGUUCCUCUGUCAGGCCUCUGGUCAGCGGACAAAGGGCAAAGGCCUCGGAGCUGUCACUCCUGGAUCCUGGUGAUGGCGCCUCGGUGUCGCUGGUGGCGGUCCAGGUUCGGGGAGGCGAGUGCAGCCGCUCCAUGUUGCCCCUCAGGAAGCUGA